Papaver somniferum (opium poppy) is the source of this 2060-nucleotide long non-coding RNA. RefSeq lists it as uncharacterized. NCBI's taxonomy places the organism in Eukaryota, Viridiplantae, Streptophyta, Magnoliopsida, Ranunculales, Papaveraceae. The record is from RefSeq and is a predicted model, not a curated record. The transcript has 14 exons.
CAGAGAGAGAAAAACAUUAUCUCUUUCUCUCUUUCUCCGCCUCUCUUUCUCCUUCUCCCUCAUAUUUUCUCUCCUUACUGGAACUCAAAAAAAUCCCCUGAACCUAUCAAAAAUAAACCCUAAAACCUGCGAUAAAUCAAUAACCUUAUCUCACAUCUGCAAACCCAUUUUUCAGAAAUCAAUACCAUCUUUGAAUGACCUGAUUUCGCGAACCCAGUAGAUUCAAGUAGAAACCCUAGAAAGUUGAGGACAAGAAUCAGGUAGAAAUUGGUAGAGCUUUAUGGGUUUUUCAUGGUGGAUGGAAAUUUUGUUGAAGAUAUUGGCUUCAGAUGUUGGUGGUUGAUGGUAUUUUUCUUGUAAUUGUUGGUGGUGGUAGUUUGAUGGUGAAGCUUGUGGUUCUGUAGAUGUUGGUGUUAUGGGUGGCUGUAAGUGUUUCUCAUGGUAGCUUUGGUGAUAGUGACUGCCGGACUUUCUCUUGUUGGUGGUGAACCAUUGCUCUACUGGAGGUAAUCGCGGUUGGGUUACAUAGGAUUGAUUUGAAGCUGAUGUGCUUUGUUGAACGUUCUGCAGUGUGUCCAUGGCAUUCUGCUUUGGUUGUUCAGAUAAAGUCUUCUACCAAUGGUGGAGUUCAGAAAGCUCGAGGUUGUAACGUCGAGAAUCGAAAAAUGAUUAGACAAACAACACUUUUGUGUUGCUACUGCUGUGAGUAUAUUGCAGGAGUUGCAAUAGCUAGUCUUAUUGGAGUCUCAUGUCUGGUUCCGACAAGGCAGAUGAAAGUAUGGUUGAGGUCGGUGAGGAUCUGUUAUGUGAAAGACUGAUGUGAAUGAUAAUUACGUGAGAAGUGGGAUAAGGCUCACAAUUCGAUGCUCAUCUCUAUGAUUCCACGCUGAAACGUACUUCACCGCUGGAGGCUAUUAGUGCAAGGAAGUUCAUCCCAUCGCACUCGGGAAGCUCAUGAGCAUUGCUCAAGUGAUGAAAUCAGAAUUUGCUGACAAGGAUUACUCACUUCCUGACAUUAGAGGAGUUGGGACCGUCUGGGAUGCUGCUGAAUUCAUUCUUAUUGGAGCAAAUAUAGUUCUGGUUUGAAGCAUAAUUAGAAUUUUUCUUUGCAUGUCCAGGUUUGAGAGGUUUGACUAAGCAAUCUUGUACAUUUUCUUGGAUGUAAAUUGAUAGGAUGGUGGUUCACUAAAUGGGGGAAGGGACUAUGGUGCCAAAGCUGAAUGUAAUACAUGACUGAAAAGUUCACGGGUCUUUAGCUUAUGCUGGAAAAGUUAAGAGGAUCAACGUUGGUCAAAUUAUCUUGAAACACCUCGAUAUGGAAAGGGAAGCGAGACACCAAUGCAUCCUUCAUGAACUCCACUGCAUCAAGCAACACCGAUACACAAUGGUACGCGAGCACAUACGCGAAAAUCCUUAUGCUCCCAUGAGUCUUGCAAGGUUGUCGCUAUAUCACCUUAGCUCAUAAGCUUCAACUGGCUGUUAUCUUUAUUGAAGACAUUGAUAGCUUUUUGGGGUAUCAUCGUGCAACGAACUGCGAAGCUUUGACAAACAUGAAAAAAGAGUUCCAUGGUUUGCGACUCUACAAGUUACAGGUAUUUCUGGAUAUUGUGGAACUGUGAAUCUUCUUAUGUCCUCAAAAGUGUUUUGCGUUGUGACGGGACUGGUAAAAUUCUCAUGAAAUGAUCUCUCUGUUUGAUACCUUCAUGGAUGCCGACACUCUGUUCCCGAUGGUGGUAAGAUCGUUGCUCCUGCUGGAUGUAGAAAUGGUUGAAAGAGUUGUGCGUCUACAGUUCUGCUCUCACGCAAGCUAGUGCCAAGAUCCUAAUGACUGAAAUUCUUGUUGAAAUUCUCAGGACUUGUAUCACUUAAGAAACCUUAAUAAUUAGAAGUUUUUUGUAAUGAUUUUGGACUCAAUUUAUGAGUAUAGUUCAAUCAAUGUAUCGAGAUGUCAUUUGGUAUUAGACGAAUCAGGUUCCAUAUAGAAUUUGAAUUUGAAUUUCACUUGAAUUUGAGAACUUGAGUAAUUGUCAUUUGAAUUUGAAUUGUGAUUUGACUUUGAA